RNAcentral lists this transfer RNA (86 nucleotides) under Chloroflexota bacterium. Its description in RNAcentral is "Chloroflexi bacterium tRNA-Leu". It matches the Rfam family "tRNA". From Rfam's summary of the family: Transfer RNA (tRNA) molecules are approximately 80 nucleotides in length. Their secondary structure includes four short double-helical elements and three loops (D, anti-codon, and T loops). The record is from RNAcentral. Lineage: Bacteria; Bacillati; Chloroflexota.
GCCGAAGUGGCGGAANGGUAGACGCGCUACGUUCAGGACGUAGUAUCCUNUAGGAUGUGGGGGUUCAAAUCCCUUCUUCGGCACCA